RNAcentral lists this ribosomal RNA (253 nucleotides) under uncultured bacterium. Its description in RNAcentral is "partial 16S ribosomal RNA". It matches the Rfam family "Bacterial small subunit ribosomal RNA", at positions 524 to 776 of the family's 1533-position model. The record is from RNAcentral.
UACGUAGGGUGCAAGCGUUGUCCGGAAUUAUUGGGCGUAAAGAGCUCGUAGGCGGUCUGUCGCGUCGAAUGUGAAAAUCCGGGGCUCAACUCCGGACCUGCAUUCGAUACGGGCAGACUAGAGUUCGGUAGGGGAGACUGGAAUUCCUGGUGUAGCGGUGAAAUGCGCAGAUAUCAGGAGGAACACCGGUGGCGAAGGCGGGUCUCUGGGCCGAUACUGACGCUGAGGAGCGAAAGCGUGGGGAGCGAACAGG